UACGAAGGGGGCUAGCGUUGUUCGGAAUUACUGGGCGGUAAAGCGCGCGCAGGCGGUCUUCCAAGUCAGUGGUGAAAGCCCGGAGCUCAACUCCGGAACUUGCCAUUGAAACUGUGAGACUGGAGUACGAGAGAGGUGAGUGGAAUUCCCAGUGUAGAGGUGAAAUUCGUAGAUAUUGGGAAGAACACCGGUGGCGAAGGCGGCUCACUGGCUCGGUAACUGAACGCUCAUGGCACGACAGCGUGGGGAUCAAACAGG
This 258-nucleotide ribosomal RNA is filed under the name uncultured bacterium. Its description in RNAcentral is "partial 16S ribosomal RNA". It matches the Rfam family "Bacterial small subunit ribosomal RNA", at positions 524 to 776 of the family's 1533-position model. The record is from RNAcentral.